AUUGAACGCUGGCGGCAUGCUUUACACAUGCAAGUCGAACGGCAGCGCGGGCUUCGGCCUGGCGGCGAGUGGCGAACGGGUGAGUAAUGCAUCGGAACGUGCCCAGUCGUGGGGGAUAGCCCGGCGAAAGCCGGAUUAAUACCGCAUACGACCUGAGGGUGAAAGCGGGGGACCGAAAGGCCUCGCGCUAUUGGAUCGGCCGAUGUCGGAUUAGCUAGUUGGUGGGGUAAAGGCUUACCAAGGCGACGAUCCGUAGCUGGUCUGAGAGGACGACCAGCCACACUGGGACUGAGACACGGCCCAGACUCCUACGGGAGGCAGCAGUGGGGAAUUUUGGACAAUGGGGGCAACCCUGAUCCAGCCAUGCCGCGUGCGGGAAGAAGGCCUUCGGGUUGUAAACCGCUUUUGUUCGGGAAGAAAUCCUCUGGGCUAAUACCCCGGGGGGAUGACGGUACCGGAAGAAUAAGCACCGGCUAACUACGUG
This 484-nucleotide ribosomal RNA is filed under the name uncultured bacterium. Its description in RNAcentral is "partial 16S ribosomal RNA". It matches the Rfam family "Bacterial small subunit ribosomal RNA", at positions 28 to 507 of the family's 1533-position model. The record is from RNAcentral.